RNAcentral lists this ribosomal RNA (253 nucleotides) under uncultured bacterium. RNAcentral describes it as "partial 16S ribosomal RNA". It matches the Rfam family "Bacterial small subunit ribosomal RNA", at positions 524 to 776 of the family's 1533-position model. The record is from RNAcentral.
UACGAGGGGGGCAAGCGUUGUUCGGAAUUAUUGGGCGUAAAGGGCGCGUAGGCGGCGCCACAAGUCACUUGUGAAACCUCUGGGCUCAACUCAGAGCCUGCAAGCGAAACUGUGGUGCUGGAGUAUGGGAGAGGUGUGUGGAAUUCCCGGUGUAGUGGUGAAAUGCGUAGAUAUCGGGAGGAACACCAGUGGCGAAGGCGACUUCCUGGCCUGUUCUUGACGCUGAGGCGCGAAAGCUAGGGGAGCAAACGGG